This 279-nucleotide ribosomal RNA is filed under the name uncultured bacterium. RNAcentral's name for it is "partial 16S ribosomal RNA". It matches the Rfam family "Bacterial small subunit ribosomal RNA", at positions 506 to 784 of the family's 1533-position model. The record is from RNAcentral.
UGCCAGCAGCCGCGGUAAUACGAACCGGGCAAACGUUAUUCGGAAUUACUGGGCUUAAAGGGUGCGUAGGCGGCGCUUCAAGUCGGGUGUGAAAUCCCCCAGCUCAACUGGGGAACUGCGCCCGAAACUGUAGUGCUUGAGGAAGAUAGAGGUGAGCGGAACGAAUGGUGGAGCGGUGAAAUGCGUUGAUAUCAUUCGGAACACCCGUGGCGAAGGCGGCUCACUGGGUCUCUUCUGACGCUGAGGAACGAAAGCUAGGGGAGCGAACGGGAUUAGAUA